AACGAACGCUGGCGGCAGGCCUAAUACAUGCAAGUCGAACGCCCCUUUUAUAGGGGAGUGGCAGACGGGUGAGUAACGCGUGGGAACCUACCCAGUAGUAUGGAACAACACAGAGAAAUUUGUGCUAAUACCGUAUACGCCCUUCGGGGGAAAGAUUUAUCGCUAUUGGAUGGGCCCGCGUUGGAUUAGCUUGUUGGUGAGGUAACGGCUCACCAAGGCGACGAUCCAUAGCUGGUCUGAGAGGAUGAUCAGCCACACUGGGACUGAGACACGGCCCAGACUCUUACGGGAGGCAGCAGUAGGGAAUAUUGGACAAUGGGCGAAAGCCUGAUCCAGCCAUGCCGCGUGAGUGAUGACGGCCCUAGGGUUGUAAAGCUCUUUCAACGGUGAAGAUAAUGACGGUAACCGUAGAAGAA
Molecule: ribosomal RNA, 416 nt
Filed under: uncultured bacterium
Lineage: Bacteria
Description: bacterial SSU rRNA
Rfam family: Bacterial small subunit ribosomal RNA
Source: RNAcentral